This 74-nucleotide transfer RNA is filed under the name Felis catus (domestic cat). It matches the Rfam family "tRNA". Rfam says of the family: Transfer RNA (tRNA) molecules are approximately 80 nucleotides in length. RNAcentral also lists the same sequence under 2 other names. Lineage: Eukaryota; Metazoa; Chordata; Mammalia; Carnivora; Felidae. The record is from Rfam by way of RNAcentral.
GCCUGGCUGGCUCAGUUGGUAGAGCAUGUGACCCUUGAUCUCAGGGUUGUGAGUUCAAGCCCCCACCUUGGGCA